ACGAACGCUGGCGGCGCGCCUAACACAUGCAAGUCGCACGAGCGAGAGAGAGCUUGCUUUCUCGAGCGAGUGGCGAACGGGUGAGUAACGCGUGAGGAACCUGCCUCAAAGAGGGGGACAACAGUUGGAAACGACUGCUAAUACCGCAUAAGCCCACGGGUCGGCAUCGACCAGAGGGAAAAGGAGCAAUCCGCUUUGAGAUGGCCUCGCGUCCGAUUAGCUAGUUGGUGAGGUAACGGCCCACCAAGGCAACGAUCGGUAGCCGGACUGAGAGGUUGAACGGCCACAUUGGGACUGAGACACGGCCCAGACUCCUACGGGAGGCAGCAGUGGGGAAUAUUGCACAAUGGGGGAAACCCUGAUGCAGCGACGCCGCGUGGAGGAAGAAGGUCUUCGGAUUGUAAACUCCUGUUGUUGGGGAAGAUAAUGACGGUACCCAACAAGGAAGUGACGGCUAACUACGUG
This 465-nucleotide ribosomal RNA is filed under the name uncultured bacterium. RNAcentral's name for it is "partial 16S ribosomal RNA". It matches the Rfam family "Bacterial small subunit ribosomal RNA", at positions 29 to 507 of the family's 1533-position model. The record is from RNAcentral.